GGACCCGUCUUGAAACACGGACCAAGGAGUCUUACAUGUGUGCUGGUCAUUGGGACCGUGUGUAAAACCGGAGGGCGCAACGAAAGUAGGGGCGAGCCCCCGCCGCGCGCUCAGGGAAGACGGAGCGUCGGUCUCGAUCGAUCUUUCGCACUCCCGAGGCGUCUCGUUUCCAAUCAGUGAAUGCAAAUGUGCUCUGAGCACAGAUGCUGGGACCCGAAAGAUGGUGAACUAUGCA
RNAcentral lists this ribosomal RNA (235 nucleotides) under Aeromachus kali. RNAcentral's name for it is "partial 28S ribosomal RNA". It matches the Rfam family "Eukaryotic large subunit ribosomal RNA", at positions 645 to 837 of the family's 3401-position model. Lineage: Eukaryota; Metazoa; Arthropoda; Insecta; Lepidoptera; Hesperiidae. The record is from RNAcentral.